UGUUUUUUUUUAUCAAAUAAAUGCGUAAGAGACUAUUUUCAAGAACAUUUUGAAAAAUCUUACAGACCCCAGACCUUUAUAUGUGAUUAUAAGUUGUUAUUUACAGAUAUUAUAGUAAUUAUUAUUUUUGUAGCAUCCUUGAAAUGAAUCUGUUUUUGCAGUUCAUAAAAACACAUGAAUAAUUAAUUCAUAAGUCUGAAUAAUCUGCUUAUAGAGUUCUGACCGCCAAUGGAAAGGAAAGGUCAUGGAACAACAUAUUAUAUUCUGUCCUCUUUGCCACAUGAAGCUGUUGUACAACAUAAGUUGACUCGGGUUGUGUGGGCUGCUUUGAAUGAUCCCUUUGCAUUAUUUUUUAAGCUUGUAUAUUCCAUUGUUCUUGCAUGGAAAAGAGCAAUACAUUUUCUGUUGAAACCAGAAGUCAUUAGAGCAAGGAACAACACAAGUGUGAGGAAAUAAAAUAUUGCAUUGUGUAAUGACCUGCCACAUCAUAUACUGUUUUUUGAAAUGCCUUCACUUUCUGUUGACAGAAUACAUCACAGAUAUUUCCUCUGAACACAGGAGGAGCACAAAGAAUGUGUGAAGAGCUAAAUCUCCCUCUUUUGGGCAGAGUACCCCUCGAUCCACAGAUAGGGGAGAAGCUGUGAGGAGGGAAGGUCUCUCCGAACUGAAGCUCCAGACUCUCCUGCUGCAGUGUCCUAUCAGAAUAUUGUCCAGAAAAUCAGAGAUUACUGUUCUUCCCAUUCUACACCAGACGAUCCUUGUUGACGCAGAAAUGUGCAUCAGAUCUUUGUCCAGCCAACUGGGAUGUCCUUUAAAUUUUCAUGUGGUGAAUCAGUCCAAAAAGAAAGGACAUUGUGAAUCGUGCUUUCUGCUCAACACUCUUGCUCACCUUCAUAAACUCAUUUACAGAGCAAAUGGAAAAUAUUAUCUAAAUUCCUGGCUUCCCUUCAAAACACAGAUUUUAGAUUAGAAAAAUAAUUUGUUAUAAUACAUAAAAAAAUGAAUUCAUGUUGUACAUUAGAAGUGCAGAUCACAAGUCAUCACCCAAUCCAAGAAUCCAAAUUUGUAAAUUGUAAAGGAUGAAACUGAAACCAAAAUAUAAUUAUUACCAUAAAGACAAUGAGCAUGUUUCAGCAGGCCAGGAGAAAUUAUGUCUGUUAUCAGAAAAGGUAAUAAUGUGUGCCAUAUAGUGGCUUUUUCCGUCACUUAAGAUAACAAUUUCUAAAUCCAGUCUGCACUAAAUCUCUGUUUAUAUGUUUUCUGAUCAAUAAAAAGCAAAAAUACCUGUUUUAUGUGUUACACACACAUAAUGUAUACACUUUUGUGUUGUUUCUUCUUACAUUGUAUGUCAAACCAACGAAUCAUUUCUGAUAUACCGGUACUUCAGAGUAUUUAUAUUAUUCUUCAUAAAAUAUUCAUAAUGCUACCGUAAGUGCUAAAUUUCCGGGGAUUUCCACUUUCAGUUUACGAAGGCGUGUGCCUGCCAGAGCA
Long non-coding RNA from Carassius auratus (goldfish), 1491 nucleotides. RefSeq lists it as uncharacterized. The record is from RefSeq and is a predicted model, not a curated record. Lineage: Eukaryota; Metazoa; Chordata; Actinopteri; Cypriniformes; Cyprinidae. The transcript has 3 exons.